This 253-nucleotide ribosomal RNA is filed under the name uncultured bacterium. Its description in RNAcentral is "partial 16S ribosomal RNA". It matches the Rfam family "Bacterial small subunit ribosomal RNA", at positions 524 to 776 of the family's 1533-position model. RNAcentral also lists the same sequence under 2 other names. The record is from RNAcentral.
GACAGAGGGUGCGAACGUUGUUCGGAAUUACUGGGCGUAAAGCGCGUGUAGGCGGUCGUGCAAGUCGGGUGUGAAAGCCCUGGGCUCAACCCAGGAAGUGCAUUCGAUACUGCGCGACUGGAGUCCCGGAGAGGAUGGUGGAACUCUCGGUGUAGAGGUGAAAUUCGUAGAUAUCGAGAAGAACACCGGUGGCGAAGGCGGCCAUCUGGACGGUGACUGACGCUGAGACGCGAAAGCGUGGGGAGCAAACAGG